This 372-nucleotide ribosomal RNA is filed under the name Montipora efflorescens. Its description in RNAcentral is "partial small subunit ribosomal RNA". It matches the Rfam family "Bacterial small subunit ribosomal RNA", at positions 620 to 1003 of the family's 1533-position model. Lineage: Eukaryota; Metazoa; Cnidaria; Anthozoa; Scleractinia; Acroporidae. The record is from RNAcentral.
UAGGCCGUUUUAUUAAAGGGGUUUUAUAAUUUAAGAAGGUAAAUGGAAUUUUUUUGUAACGGUGGAAUGUGUAAAUAGAAAAAAGAACCUUACACGUGAAGACUAUUUAUUUUUGAGAUUAUAAUGUGAUGGCUAAAACACGAGAGUAUGGGGAGCAAACAGGAUUAGGGACCCUGGUAGUCUAUACUGUAAAUAAUGAAAAAGAUGUGAAGCAAUCCUAAAAAGUCAGAAAUUUUCCGCUUGAGUAGUACGACCGCAAGGUUAAAAUUCAAAAAACUUGGCUGUUCACUGUUUUAAUUAGAGGAGCGUGUCGUUUAAUUCGAUAGUCCGCGAGAGACCUUACCCAAACUUGAAUCCUUUAUUGACAGGUAU